RNAcentral lists this ribosomal RNA (371 nucleotides) under uncultured bacterium. Its description in RNAcentral is "bacterial SSU rRNA". It matches the Rfam family "Bacterial small subunit ribosomal RNA", at positions 527 to 898 of the family's 1533-position model. The record is from RNAcentral.
GUAGGGUGCGAGCGUUAAUCGGAAUUACUGGGCGUAAAGCGUGCGCAGGCGGUUUUGUAAGACAGAGGUGAAAUCCCCGGGCUCAACCUGGGAACUGCCUUUGUGACUGCAAGGCUUGAGUGCGGCAGAGGGGGAUGGAAUUCCGCGUGUAGCAGUGAAAUGCGUAGAUAUGCGGAGGAACACCGAUGGCGAAGGCAAUCCCCUGGGCCUGCACUGACGCUCAUGCACGAAAGCGUGGGGAGCAAACAGGAUUAGAUACCCUGGUAGUCCACGCCCUAAACGAUGUCAACUGGUUGUUGGGAAGGUUCCUUCUCAGUAACGUAGCUAACGCGUGAAGUUGACCGCCUGGGGAGUACGGCCGCAAGGUUGAA